RNAcentral lists this long non-coding RNA (1335 nucleotides) under Anser cygnoides (Swan goose). Its description in RNAcentral is "lncRNA (ENSACDG00005012021.1)". Lineage: Eukaryota; Metazoa; Chordata; Aves; Anseriformes; Anatidae. The record is from RNAcentral.
GGGAAAAAAAAAAAGGCAUUCAAUGCAAACACAAACAGCUUCAAUAGCUCCUGGAUGAACAGGAUGAAAAUAUGUUGGGAAAUGUGCAUGCAAUAUAUGUAGUGUGGAUUCCUACAGUAGUGAGGCUUAGACUCCCACCUCUGUUCCUGCAAAACUCAUGAACUCAUGCUGGAGAAGUUUUUGAAGAACUGCAGUCUGUGGGAAGCCCAUGUAGCAUCAGGCCAAAAAAGCAGUGGUGAAGGAAGUGAAAUCCAGCUGGUAACCAGUGGUGUUCCCCAGGGGUCAGUGUUGGGGGCCCAUCCUCUUUAAUACCUUUAUUGAUGAUUUGGAUGUGGGAAUUGAGUGCAGACAACACCUAGUUGGGGGGAAGUGUCAAUCUGCCAGAGGGUGGGAAGGCCCUGCAGAGGGACGUGGACAGGAUGGGUCAAUGGGCAGAGGCCAAUGGGAUGAGGUUCAACAUAGCUAAGUGCUGGGUCCUGCACUUUGGCCACAACAACCCCAUGCACUGCUACAGGCUUGGGGCAGAGUGGGUGGAAAUAUGUUCAGAGGAAAAGGAUCUGGGGGUGAUAAUCGAUGCUCACCUGAACCGAGGUGAGCGUCCCCUUGUAUUCUGCUCUGGUGAGGCCGCACCUUGAGUGCUCAGGAGGAAGAAAUAAUUGAUUUUUUUUUUUUUUUAUUGCCAUUAGAAAUUUUGGGUCCCAACUCUGAAACUUCAGAGCAGCUAUAAAGUGGAUGAAUACAAAAACAAGUUGCAGAGGAAAUUUCCCCCCAUACUGAUUUUAACUAGCAGCUAAUUUUCUUUGCCACUUUAGGGUAUCUGUAUCAAUCUCAAUAUUUUUUUUUUUUGAAUUACUUUUGCUUUUUUUCUUUCUUCUAGUCAAAGAACUAUAAUCAAAUCUUUUUUUUUUUUUUUUUUUUUUUUUUUUUUUUUGGUUUUUNNNNNNNNNNNNNNNNNNNNNNNNNUUUUUUUCCAUUUUUGGGUUUUUUUUUUAAUUUUAAUAUUUUUUUUUUUUUGAAUUUUUUUUUUUUUUUUUUUUUUUUUUUUUAAAGAACUAUAAUCAAAUCUUUUUUUUUUUUUUUUUUUUUUUUUUUUUAUGGGUCUUUGCAAUCUGCACAUCAGAGGAGGUUUUGAACCUGCAGACUCAUAUAUGAGUUCAUGUUUUGGUGGUAGUCUUCCAUUUUUUAGCUAACUCAAAAGGAAAAAAAAUGUAAAAUUAUUGUUCUUUCAAUUAAACUUGACGAAAAGCAUUAACUAUGGCUAGUACUUUUCUGUGAGAUUUCUUCAACUUUCAGCCCAGCAAUAAAAUCAUUCAUUGGCAGUAGGAAACUAUAUCA